This 797-nucleotide ribosomal RNA is filed under the name uncultured Planctomycetota bacterium. RNAcentral's name for it is "bacterial SSU rRNA". It matches the Rfam family "Bacterial small subunit ribosomal RNA", at positions 46 to 832 of the family's 1533-position model. Lineage: Bacteria; Pseudomonadati; Planctomycetota. The record is from RNAcentral.
GGAUUAGGCAUGCAAGUCGUGCGCGAAAGCCUUCGGGCGAGUAGAGCGGCGAACGGGUGAGUACCACGUAAUCAACCUGCCCUUGAGAUCGGAAUAGCCACUGGAAACGGUGGGUAAAGCCGAAUGGCCCCGGAGAGGGGAUUCCUUCUCCGGGUAAACGGCGGCUUCGGCUGCUGCUCGGGGAGGGGAUUGCGGCCUAUCAGCUUGUUGGUGGGGUAACGGCCUACCAAGGCGAUGACGGGUAGCCGGUCUGAGAGGACGAUCGGCCACACUGGAACUGAGACACUGUCCAGACUCCUACGGGAGGCUGCAGUCGAGAAUCUUCCGCAAUGGGCGAAAGCCUGACGGAGCGACACCGCGUGCAGGAUGAAGGCCCUCGGGUUGUAAACUGCUGUCACGCCGUAUGAAUGCCAUGUCGUUAAUAGCGGCAUGGUUGACGUCAAGGCGAAAGGAAGCACCGGCUAACUCCGUGCCAGCAGCCGCGGUAAGACGGAGGGUGCGAACGUUGUUCGGAAUCACUGGGCAUAAAGCGCACGUAGGCGGCGUGGUCAGUCCGAUGUGAAAGCCCCCGGCUCAACCGGGGAACCGCAUUGGAUACUGCCAUGCUCGAGGAUGGUUGGGGUGAGUGGAACUCCUGGUGGAGCGGUGAAAUGCGUAGAUAUCAGGAGGAACACCGGUGGCGAAAGCGGCUCACUGGACCAUUUCUGACGCUGAGGUGCGAAAGCUAGGGGAGCGAACGGGAUUAGAUACCCCGGUAGUCCUAGCCGUAAACGAUGGGCACUAAGUAGAGGGGUUUU